Helianthus annuus (common sunflower) is the source of this 1898-nucleotide long non-coding RNA. RefSeq lists it as uncharacterized. The transcript has 12 exons. NCBI's taxonomy places the organism in Eukaryota, Viridiplantae, Streptophyta, Magnoliopsida, Asterales, Asteraceae. The record is from RefSeq and is a predicted model, not a curated record.
UCAAACCGCCAUCUCUCUCUCUUCUUUUUCCAUUUUUAUUUCAUCUUCCAUACACGCACAUUAUUCACAUUCAUCUUCCACCGCUUUCUCUCUCAUCUUGAUUUUCAGAAAAUACUGAUUCCAAUUUUAGGGUUCUUCCAUUCCAGUAUUGUUGAUUGCAUCUAUGGCGAUUUUUCAAAUCCUAGGUUUUCCAUCUAAGUCUAAUUGAUGACAGGGAUGUUCGUGUUCAACUACAGACCAUCAAUUCAAAAACCCUAAUCAUCGGUCACCUGGUUGAUUCCGAAGGCUGAGUGAUGGAGCUGGUAACAAAUCAGACUUUCAAUCAUCGUUAUUUAGUGGGUUGCAGUUGCGAUGGGGUCGAUUUAAAGGUGGCACGGUGGUAGAUUUGAGGCAAAUCUAGGUCACGACAGAAAUUGAGAGCACUGAUCAACAGAGAAGCCAUGCCCGUACAGUGGGAAAAGUUUGUCCAAUUGUGGAAAUUGAAGCUAGAGACCAUAUCUGGUGUGCUAAAUACCUCCUUGAGGUCUAAUAAAGCAGGUAAAGCUUGAUAAGAAUCUAUCAGUUGAUGCUAUGUUGACCUGUUUUCGCCAGCUUGCUAUGGUUUUCUGAGGUUUGUUAUGGACAAUGGAGCUAAAGGGUUCGAGGUGAUUGUUAGAAGAAAGCUUAGGGCCUGGCGUGCACUAUGAUGAUUGAUGGUCUAAGAAAUAGUUUAACUCAUGCAUGGUAAAAUUAUAGGGGGGUUAUUUCGGUUUUAUUGGGUUAUCAUGAGCCCGACUUAUGGUGUUAAAAAUGUCCGUUGGAAUAUUAAUAUUUGGGGCCCAGCUUUGCGUUUACAUCUGCCUUCUUAAAAAUGAUAUCGCGGUCUACAGUAGUACUUAUGGAAGUAUACCUUCCCUAUUGGGACAUAGGUGUGUAGUACAAUCAUCUAUACCUUAUAUUAAAACAAAACAUCUUUGGCCACUUGGCAUUCACUUAUACUACUCAUUGCCUGUAAUCAAGUUCCUGCAGCAGGUGCACUUGGUAUGGGUGACCAAUGAUCUGCUCAAAUUCCAAAUGCUUAGUGGGCUGGUGACAUGGCAUCACCGUUGCUCAAGGUGCAAGUGGUUGAAGGUUAGACUCAACGAUAUGAGAAGACAUAGAUGUGGCAGAAUAUAGUUUGGCCAUACUUAAAAAAAAUCACCAGACUUGAAGCUUGAAAGAAAAAUCAAAAUUCGAAACUGGUUUGGCUCUACGCGGAUGUUGUAGUUUCAAGUAUGAGGAACGGUUUUGGGAACCGGUGGGCCAGGCCACACUAUACUAUGGAGGGCAUAUUUAUGAUGGCUAUGAGUACGCGAUGACGCCACUCAAUGACCCAAGUAUGUAUGCUGCAGCUUAUAGAGCUUAUCCAAUGUAUGUCAUUCAUCAACAAGUCAACUAAAUGAGAUGUAGGCAUGCCCUUAAAAAUUGUUUAAUCGCCAAGUAUUAGCUGGAUAGAAUCAACUUUAAAGCUACAUCAUUUACCAGCAUGGCCAAGCAGAGGAUUCUCUUCAGGCUUUAGUACCAGCCUUCUUAAUACCUCACCACCUAAUUGACUCGGUUCAAGGGAGAUGGGCAUGAAAAUUACCAGUAGUUAGUGGGUUGAGCUGGAAAACGGGUGCCGAUGGAAAUGGGUUAUAUUUUGGUACGGCUAACAACCGGCCGGGUUGGGUUUGGAGUUGAGCAAGAGUACACUUUGCUUCAACCAGAUGUGAAGUGGCCUUUGGGAUGCCCUGUUGGAGGCUACCCUGGUCCACAGGGUCUAUACUACUGUGGUGCUGGAGCGGAUAAGUCAUUUGGAAGAGACAUAUCAGAUGCACAUUACAAGGCUUGCUUAUAUGCCGGAAUUAACAUCAGUGGAACCAACGAAGAAGUUAUGCCUG